AACGAACGCUGGCGGCAUGCCUAACACAUGCAAGUCGAACGAGACCUUCGGGUCUAGUGGCGCACGGGUGCUUAACGCGUGGGAACUUGCCCUUAGGUUCGGAAUAACUCCCCGAAAGGGGUGCUAAUACCGGAUAAUGUCUUCGGACCAAAGAUUUAUCGCCUUUGGAUGGGCCCGCGUUGGAUUAGCUAGUUGGUAGGGUAAAAGCCUACCAAGGCGACGAUCCAUAGCUGGUCUGAGAGGAUGAUCAGCCACACUGGGACUGAGACACGGCCCAGACUCCUACGGGAGGCAGCAGUGGGGAAUAUUGGACAAUGGGCGAAAGCCUGAUCCAGCAAUGCCGCGUGAGUGAUGAAGGCCUUAGGGUUGUAAAGCUCUUUUACCCGGGAUGAUAAUGACAGUACCGGGAGAAUAAGCUCCGGCUAACUCCGUG
RNAcentral lists this ribosomal RNA (433 nucleotides) under uncultured bacterium. RNAcentral's name for it is "partial 16S ribosomal RNA". It matches the Rfam family "Bacterial small subunit ribosomal RNA", at positions 29 to 507 of the family's 1533-position model. The record is from RNAcentral.